This is a long non-coding RNA of Prinia subflava (tawny-flanked prinia), 1670 nucleotides long. RefSeq lists it as uncharacterized. NCBI's taxonomy places the organism in Eukaryota, Metazoa, Chordata, Aves, Passeriformes, Cisticolidae. The transcript is spliced from 6 exons. The record is from RefSeq and is a predicted model, not a curated record.
UGUCACUGCCAGCCCAGAGCCCCUGCACUCCCCUGGGUCAGUGCCACAGCAGCAGAACCUUGUUGUCACAGCACAGCUCGUCUGGAGCUGGGCAGAUCAACCUGGCUGUAGCAGGGAACCCAGUCUGGCUCUCCCAGUUCAGUGAACAAGUCCCUGGGUGAACAAUGACAGGACAGGUUUAACCUGGAACAGACACCAGUCCCUUCCAGCCCUAAAUGCAGACGUGUCACUGGCAGGGAGCUGGGCAGAGCUAAGAGCCAGGCCAGGCAGGGUCUGGAUCCGGGGGCUCUGAGCUGCCUGCUCCAGAAGGUUCCAAACACUAGAACAGGCUGGUUUGUCCUGUGAGCAAGAGGACUCGGGUCAUGAUUUCUGUCUCCAGCCUGCGACCCCACGUGACACCUUGUCCCAAGCCAGGAUUGCACUGGAGGGUCAGAAACUCCUUGGGAAUGGCCUGAAGAGCCUGUUGGAGUGCUGGCCUGGAUCUGGGAGGAGCCAAGUAGCCUGGAGCUGUGAGGUUUUUCCUGUCAGAAAUCCCUGAUGGGGAUGUUUUCCCUGGCUGUUCCAAGGGGAAGGAGCAGCUCUGGAGUUGUUGCAGCCACAGGAUGCAGUGGGUGCAUGCCCUGAGAACCAGUUCAGGAUUGUUCAUCUGAGUCUGCCGCUGACCUGUGACUUCCAGGGCCUCUCCUGAUGUCCUGGAUAUUCCCAGGAAAGGAUAUUCCAAGGCUUGCCUUUUGAGCCAGCAAUUCCAGAGGCAGGGGAGGAGGCAGCCGUGCCCAGGAGGAAGAGGAGGAGGAGUGGGAGGAUGGAGACAGUGGCCACCAAAGGCUGGGGGAGCCACAGCUCCAGGUGGUGCUUUAGGAAAGGCCCUCCAGCCUGAGAAGGAGCUUUUGGCUCCGGACAAUUCCCAGUUCCCAGGAGCAGCAGGACCUGUGCUGUCCCCAGCAGGACAGGAAAACCCACCCAACUCCCCCCAUCUCUGCCAGAAGCUUUGGUGUUUGAGCAGCCAAACCCAGCAGGCUCUGGCCCCACUGGCCUGCCCUGGAGGGCCCCUGCCCUUCCCAUGGUGUGAGUGAGUCCCAGAGUGCUGCAAAUCCAGAGGGAUCUGCCCUGGUCCCUGCAGUGCCCAACCCCAGACAGAGAGAGCCCUGUCCAAGGGGCUGUGGCUCCUUGUCAGGAAUGUGGCAGCAGCCCCGGGAGCAGCUGGAGGACUCUGUGGAUCUGCUCCAGACUGAAAACCCCAGAGGAGCACCGAGGGCUGACACCUGCAGCCCAGCAGGCCUGGACCUCCAGAGGGGCUGGGACUGAUAAAAACUGAGUGAGCUGAGCCACCCACAGAAGGAUUUUUCUCAGGUUUACCAUCCCUGUUUGCAGCAGUGAGAGGUUUUAUUGUUUCAUAUUAUUAAUUCUUUAUGGUUGUGGGCAUUUUGUUGUUAAAUAAAUAGGUUUUUUCCACUUUUCUCCAAGGAAUUUCUUUUCCUGGACUGGCUGAGGAAGGGCAUUUUGGGUUUGCUUUCCAGAGGGACCCUACUCAGAGAUUUCCUCCCAAAUUUGCCCUGAACCAGGACAGCAGAUCAGGCAGGGGCAGGCAGGGAACUUUGGCAAUGCUGCUCUGCCCCAGAAAGUGUCACUGCCACCUGCAGGGAUGGCAGCACCCAUGCCCAGCGCUCCCC